CAGAUUAUCUUCGUCUCUGGUGUUUCGCUGGCCAUUGGGCUGAAGUCAACCGUACAGUUCUUCACAAAGCCCAAGAAUCGCAAGUGUUCGAUUGCUUUCAGGGUCGUACUUUUCCUUGUCCUUAUUGGCUGGCCUGUCUUCAGUAUGAUGGCAGAGUCGUAUGGCUUUGCCCUGCUAUUCAGUAGGUUCUGGCCUACUGCUGCUGUUUACCUACAAAAAAACUCCACCAUCGGUUGGAUUUUCUGA
RNAcentral lists this ribosomal RNA (246 nucleotides) under Triticum aestivum (bread wheat). RNAcentral's name for it is "partial small subunit ribosomal RNA". The record is from RNAcentral. Lineage: Eukaryota; Viridiplantae; Streptophyta; Magnoliopsida; Poales; Poaceae.